CCUACGGGAGGCAGCAGUCGAGAGGCUUCGGCAAUGGGGGAAACCCUGACCGAGCGACGCCGCGUGGAGGAUGAAGGCCCUUGGGUUGUAAACUCCUUUUGUCGGGGGAGAAACACGGCCAGGUGAACAAUCUGGUCGUCUGACGGUACCCGACGAAUAAGCUCCGGCUAACUCCGUGCCAGCAGCCGCGGUAACACGGGGGGAGCAAGCGUUGUUCGGAAUCACUGGGCGUAAAGGGCGUGUAGGCGGUCAGGUAAGUGGGUUGUGAAAUCCCUCGGCU
This 280-nucleotide ribosomal RNA is filed under the name uncultured bacterium. RNAcentral's name for it is "partial 16S ribosomal RNA". It matches the Rfam family "Bacterial small subunit ribosomal RNA", at positions 338 to 609 of the family's 1533-position model. The record is from RNAcentral.